RNAcentral lists this small RNA (77 nucleotides) under Salmonella enterica. RNAcentral's name for it is "partial RtT sRNA". It matches the Rfam family "RtT RNA", at positions 1 to 76 of the family's 130-position model. From Rfam's summary of the family: This family represents a bacterial cis-regulatory element known as RtT RNA. The exact function of RtT is unknown although it is thought that it may be involved in changing the cellular response in relation to amino acid starvation. Lineage: Bacteria; Pseudomonadati; Pseudomonadota; Gammaproteobacteria; Enterobacterales; Enterobacteriaceae. RNAcentral also lists the same sequence under 1 other name. The record is from RNAcentral.
AUAUCUCUCCGUACGGGAAGGAUGAGAAGCUUCGACUAAGGUUCGAUUCGAGCGCAGCGAGAAAGCGUUGCCGCAGG